Molecule: ribosomal RNA, 356 nt
Filed under: Burkholderia sp. RZ5MS1
Lineage: Bacteria; Pseudomonadati; Pseudomonadota; Betaproteobacteria; Burkholderiales; Burkholderiaceae
Description: bacterial SSU rRNA
Rfam family: Bacterial small subunit ribosomal RNA
Source: RNAcentral
UAAUACAUCGGAACAUGUCCAGUAGUGGGGGAUAGCCCGGCGAAAGCCGGAUUAAUACCGCAUACGAUCUAYGGAUGAAAGCGGGGGAUCGCAAGACCUCGCGCUAUUGGGGUGGCCGAUGGCGGAUUAGCUAGUUGGUGGGGUAAAGGCCUACCAAGGCGACGAUCCGUAGCUGGUCUGAGAGGACGACCAGCCACACUGGGACUGAGACACGGCCCAGACUCCUACGGGAGGCAGCAGUGGGGAAUUUUGGACAAUGGGGGCAACCCUGAUCCAGCAAUGCCGCGUGUGUGAAGAAGGCCUUCGGGUUGUAAAGCACUUUUGUCCGGAAAGAAAACCUUUUCGCUAAUACCGAG